Molecule: non-coding RNA, 1585 nt
Organism: Phoenix dactylifera (date palm)
Lineage: Eukaryota; Viridiplantae; Streptophyta; Magnoliopsida; Arecales; Arecaceae
Source: RefSeq, a predicted model, not a curated record
ACUCAAAUUCACAACAAAAAAACAUGCGGGCCGUUCCUCUCCUCCUUUCUUUUCUCCGGCGAUGAACCGUAUAUAUUAAUAAUGUGUGGUGUGGGUUGUCGUCGACAGCCAGCCAGGAUUCUUCCUCCUCUCCCUCGUUCCUCGUCGCCACCCUCUCCCUCCUCGUGCUCGCCUCCAUCUUCUUCUUCUACUCCUUCGUCGCCUCUCUCGAGAAGUUCCUCACCUCCCGGCGCCCUGUCUCCGCCGGAUCUUCCUCCUUCGCGGCCGACGCGGGCGGAGCCGCGGUAAAAGCGCUCGAUGACAAGAUCUGGGGGAAGGAAACAGGGAGGCUUUAUGGGGAUCCGGCGGAUCCGUGGUCGGGGCUGUCGGUGGUUAGGGUUUAUGUGUACGAGAUGCCGGCCAAGUUCACCUACGAUCUUCUCUGGCUCUUCAGGAAUACCUAUAAGGAGACGACGAAUUUGACGUCCAACGGAAGCCCCGUUCAUCGCCUCAUCGAACAGGUUCUUGCCGAUUCCCUCGCAGAAAGAUCGGACUAGUGCAUUCGCCGGAGACGCAGAAACCCUGGGGAUCGAGGGAUUUCUUGGAGAAAAUGAUUUGAUUUCGAGACAUUUUGUGGUUGUUGAGAUUUGCUGGAGCUAAGUUCUUGCUGAGGAAACCCUCGGAAUUGAGACGUUUUGUGGAGGAAACGCUGUAGUUAUUGACGUACGACAAACCCUUGUUUGAGGUUAUUGCUUGGUUGUCUUUGUGAAAUUACAGUUGUUGGUAUGUGCUGCUUGUGAGGCCGCAAUCAGAGCGGAAAAGAAUGAAUACUUCAGUCCAUACAAGAUGAAAUGAAAAAUCUGCAUAGAUAGAGAGGUGCAGAGAAAGGAGGAAAAGAGAAGGAGAAAUGGUAGGGAUCGUAGCACGCUUCCAAGGCUAUAUGACGAGACCCAACCCUCUCUUCUGGGGACCAGGCGUUGUAGUCCUAAUCCUAUCAUGGAUCAUCACCUUAUAUACUCUCUGGCAAAUGGUACCUGGAAAGCUUAUUCGAUCGAAACCAUGAGCUGGGGCAGCAUGCCUUCGGAGACAAGCUUGGUCUUUGGAUUGUGGUGCCUCAGCAACUUGUCGUGGAGGUGGGCGUGAACAUCGUCUACAUGGUCACAGGCGGAAAAUCUCUAAAGAAGUUUCAUGAUGUUGUCUGCCCUGACUGCAAAAACAUCAAAGUCACCUAUUUCAUCAUGAUCUUCGCCUCACUGCACUUUGUUCUCUCCCAACCGCCCAACUUCAACUCAAUUUCAGGUGUCUCCUUGGCAGCUGCUGUCAUGUCCCUCAGGCAUAUACUCUUCUCUAUGAUGCCAAAGCACCUGAUUAUUCUCUCUGACUCUAUAUUGCUACAUGUUGGGUAACAUUAUUUUAGAAAUCAUUAGUGACAAUAUCUUUAUAAGGGGCUUGGUUAUGCUUACGAUUUGUACUUUUGAUCACUUAAAUGAUGAUGUUGUUGAGAAGCUGAUGGUUACUGUCCCUGGUUUCCAGCAGCUGUUCUUCAGCUGCAAUCAACACAGUAACCUUAAUUCAAUAGAAGAUACUGCCUAUGUUUUCAGGUUUU